Molecule: ribosomal RNA, 609 nt
Filed under: uncultured bacterium
Lineage: Bacteria
Description: bacterial SSU rRNA
Rfam family: Bacterial small subunit ribosomal RNA
Source: RNAcentral
CCUACGGGAGGCAGCAGUGGGGAAUUUUGGACAAUGGGCGCAAGCCUGAUCCAGCCAUGCCGCGUGCGGGAAGAAGGCCUUCGGGUUGUAAACCGCUUUUGUCAGGGAAGAAAAGGUUCUGGUUAAUACCUGGGACUCAUGACGGUACCUGAAGAAUAGGCACCGGCUAACUACGUGCCAGCAGCCGCGGUAAUACGUAGGGUGCAAGCGUUAAUCGGAAUUACUGGGCGUAAAGCGUGCGCAGGCGGUUAUGCAAGACAGAUGUGAAAUCCCCGGGCUCAACCUGGGAACUGCAUUUGUGACUGCAUAGCUAGAGUACGGUAGAGGGGGAUGGAAUUCCGCGUGUAGCAGUGAAAUGCGUAGAUAUGCGGAGGAACACCGAUGGCGAAGGCAAUCCCCUGGACCUGUACUGACGCUCAUGCACGAAAGCGUGGGGAGCAAACAGGAUUAGGAUACCCUGGUAGUCCAGCCCUAAACGAUGUCAACUGGUUNUUGGAGGUUUCUNUCAGUACGAGCUAACGCGUGAAGUUGACCGCCUGGGGAAGUCGGCCGCAAGGUUGAAACUUAAAGUUGAAUUGNGNGNGNGAGNGCGAGNGACGAGAGGAGNGG